This 253-nucleotide ribosomal RNA is filed under the name uncultured bacterium. RNAcentral's name for it is "partial 16S ribosomal RNA". It matches the Rfam family "Bacterial small subunit ribosomal RNA", at positions 524 to 776 of the family's 1533-position model. The record is from RNAcentral.
UACGAACUGUGCAAACGUUAUUCGGAAUCACUGGGCUUAAAGGGUGCGUAGGCGGCCAUGUAAGUAGGGUGUGAAAGCCCCCGGCUUAACCGGGGAAUGGCGCUCUAAACUGCAUGGCUGGAGUGAGAUAGGGGUGUGUGGAACUUCCGGUGGAGCGGUGAAAUGCGUAGGUACAGGAAGGAACACCAGUGGCGAAGGCGACCACCUGGGCUAAUACUGACACUGAGGUGCGAAAGCGUGGGGAGCAAACAGG